RNAcentral lists this ribosomal RNA (375 nucleotides) under Triticum aestivum (bread wheat). Its description in RNAcentral is "partial small subunit ribosomal RNA". The record is from RNAcentral. Lineage: Eukaryota; Viridiplantae; Streptophyta; Magnoliopsida; Poales; Poaceae.
AUGAAGAGAAUAAAGAUCUCUGCAUUUUUCCUGACUGAGUGUCAUCAACGAGUACAACCACGCCGUGCUCACUAUGAUGAUGCGCAAUACAAGCUCUUAACCUGUAAGUAUCCUGGAGAAAGAUUUGCAUCCAGUUCUCCGGUUCAAGUUCAAGCUCUUGCCCUGCAAGUAUUUUCGAGAAGAUCUGCUACAGUUCUCCGAUCGGUGCUACUCCAUUGUCAAUGGCGCUUCUCCAGCAACAACACGCAGAUCAUCUACACUAGCAACAAACCACCUGGGACACGCAAAGGAAAACUAGAUUCUGUCUUUUCCACUUCAUCACAAACCAAGCAGAAAGUAAAUCUAUCUACUGACCAGUGUAGCCGUAGUACCUAG